CGGAGGGCUAGCGUUAUUCGGAAUUACUGGGCGUAAAGCGCGCGUAGGCGGUUUUCUAAGUCAGAGGUGAAAGCCCGGAGCUCAACUCCGGAAUUGCCUUUGAAACUGGAUCACUAGAAUCAUGGAGAGGUCAGUGGAAUUCCGAGUGUAGAGGUGAAAUUCGUAGAUAUUCGGAAGAACACCAGUGGCGAAGGCGACUGACUGGACAUGUAUUGACGCUGAGGUGCGAAAGCGUGGGAGCAAACAGGAUU
This 251-nucleotide ribosomal RNA is filed under the name uncultured bacterium. RNAcentral describes it as "partial 16S ribosomal RNA". It matches the Rfam family "Bacterial small subunit ribosomal RNA", at positions 528 to 779 of the family's 1533-position model. The record is from RNAcentral.